GGACCAAGGAGUCUAGCAUGUGCGCGAGUCAUUGGGACUCUAACUAAACCUACAGGCGCAAUGAAAGUGAAGGUCCGCCGUGCGCGGACCGAGGGAGGAUGGACGGCCUCGAGGGGCCGCCCCGCACUCCCGGGGCGUCUCGUUCUCAAUUUCGAGAAGAGGCGCACCCAGAGCGUACACGCUGGGACCCGAAAGAUGGUGAACUAUGCCUGGUCAGGACGAAGUCAGGGGAAACCCUGAUGGAGGUCCGUAGCGAUUCUGACGUGCAAAUCGAUCGUCGGAACUGGGUAUAGGGGCGAAAGACUAAUCGAACCAUCUAGUAGCUGGUUCCCUCCGAAGUUUCCCUCAGGAUAGCUGGCGCUCGCUUCUCGCGAGUCUCAUUCGGUAAAGCGAAUGAUUAGAGGCAUUGGGGUCGAAACGGCCUCAACCUAUUCUCAAACUUUAAAUGGGUGAGAUCUCCGGCUUGCUUGAACUGUGAAGCCGCGAGAUAUCGGAUCAGAGUGCCAAGUGGGCCACUUUUGGUAAGCAGAACUGGCGCUGUGGGAUGAACCAAACGCCGAGUUAAAGCGCCUAAAUCGACGCUUAUGGGAUACCAUGAAAGGCGUUGGUAACUUAAGACAGCAGGACGGUGGCCAUGGAAGUCGGA
RNAcentral lists this ribosomal RNA (646 nucleotides) under Ablabera sp. DA4102. RNAcentral describes it as "eukaryotic LSU rRNA". It matches the Rfam family "Eukaryotic large subunit ribosomal RNA", at positions 663 to 1265 of the family's 3401-position model. RNAcentral also lists the same sequence under 1 other name. Lineage: Eukaryota; Metazoa; Arthropoda; Insecta; Coleoptera; Scarabaeidae. The record is from RNAcentral.